RNAcentral lists this ribosomal RNA (506 nucleotides) under uncultured bacterium. Its description in RNAcentral is "partial 16S ribosomal RNA". It matches the Rfam family "Bacterial small subunit ribosomal RNA", at positions 28 to 523 of the family's 1533-position model. The record is from RNAcentral.
GAUGAACGCUAGCUACAGGCUUAACACAUGCAAGUCGAGGGGUAACGAGAGGAAAGCUUGCUUUCCUUGUCGACGACCGGCGCACGGGUGAGUAACGCGUAUCCAACCUGCCCCCAACUAAGGAAUAACCUUGCGAAAGUAAGACUAAUACCUUAUAAUUUCCUCAGAUGACAUCUGACGAGGAAUAAAGAUUUAUCGGUUGUGGAUGGGGAUGCGUCUGAUUAGCUUGUUGGCGGGGUCACGGCCCACCAAGGCAACGAUCAGUAGGGGUUCUGAGAGGAAUGUCCCCCACAUUGGAACUGAGACACGGUCCAAACUCCUACGGGAGGCAGCAGUGAGGAAUAUUGGUCAAUGGGCGGAAGCCUGAACCAGCCAAGUAGCGUGCAGGAUGACGGCCCUAUGGGUUGUAAACUGCUUUUAUACAGGAAUAAAGUUAGCCACGUGUGGUUAUUUGUAGGUACUGUAUGAAUAAGGACCGGCUAAUUCCGUGCCAGCCGCCGCGGUAA